GAAACAGUGGAACACAGGCCUCUCCUUGUCGGGGAUGGGUGUUUCUGCCAACCUGCUAGAUAGCUAGAGAGACUACGGAAGAACGCAUCUCUCUCCUCUGGCUCUCUGUCCGUCCAACCCUCCCUCCAUCCACCUCGCUCUGAGGUACAGGGCCAUAUGGUCUGCUGCUGAGGAUGACACCCCCACGCAGAGGACACGGCACCUCUCGCCCUCUCUCUCCUUGCCAUCUUGUUUACCGCUUACUGGUAUACACCAUGAGUGAAAGGAGGCAACUGUUUGGCCACCGACACUCCGUCCUGACAGACACGUAGCUGGAAAGUGACACAACGCAUCUCGCUUGUCACUCAUCAGCAGCAGCCGCAACUGGCAGGUCGACCGUUCAUCUCCCGUUGCCUCACCUGCUCGAUGUCCCUCAGCUCUUUCCGUCAGAAGCUGUCAAACACGCCAACUGUAAUAUAUGGCCCCUCCAACAAGAACAGCUGUAGCCAUUCCCUCUCAUGCCUCCCUCCCCCUGCCCUGCAUGAAAUAAUACAUCAAGAUUAAUUGAUUUCCCGUCACUCUCGGAGAAAAGAAAAUUAAUUUUCAUGUAUCUUUUCACUCCACCAUCCCUCCAGCAUAUGAAUUUUGUACACGGCAAGUCAUUUAAGUUUUUAAUUAUUCAUGAGGGCUAAAAACAUGAUAAAGUGUUCUGCCAAAGGCCCCAAGGCCGCAUGGAGCUGGUGCCUUGCUAGCUGUGUGCUGAGACAACAAUAGCACUCCCUAAUGCCUGCAUAAAUAAUAUAUGUAUUUACAUACAUUUUUGUUCAACAGAAAUCUCCCCCUUUCCCUCCCUCAUGCUGUCGCAGUUUGACUAAUGUGGAUGGCCAGUUUGGACAGGAAGGUAGUUACAAACAUUGUACUGCGGCAGCCAUUUUGUGAUGACCUUCAUCCGCUUCCAUUAGCCCAACUAAAUAAAGAUACCUCUCAGGGCAGCAGUUGGAGCUGUGGACAAGAAAUGGCUACUGCAGUAACCGACACCUUGACUUGACAAAAUAGUACACAUUCAUGGCUGAAACACACUGACGCCUUGCCUUCAUUUAAAGUCUAGCCAGACACAUGGCUUGUUCAUGGCUUACAGCGAAGAAAUGUUACUUUCAGAAGACACCUUGGCAGCAACAUGUCAGUGGAUGAUGGAGAAGCACUCGGGGUAUGCUGUGAGGGAGAGAACUUUCCAUUGUCUCUGGUUAACAACAGGCCAAGAGAAGGAUACUGUCCCUCCGAUGCCUGAACAGCUCUGACAGACAGACAGAAACAUAUACAAAGGGAUGUGCGGGCGGGCGGAAAGACACAUGGGUAAAAAGGGAUCCGAGCAGCACACUAUCCCUUCAAUAUUAUGGCAACCAUGAUGAAUGAGAUCCAAUUAUAUUCAGGCAGGGGAAUGUUUUUUUUCUUUUUCUUAUAGUCUCCCACCAAUUACAAUAAUUAUGGAGACAGAGAAUUAGGCAGAUUCAAUGGGCCUUAAAAGAA
Esox lucius (northern pike) is the source of this 1506-nucleotide long non-coding RNA. RefSeq lists it as uncharacterized. The transcript is spliced from 2 exons. The record is from RefSeq and is a predicted model, not a curated record. Lineage: Eukaryota; Metazoa; Chordata; Actinopteri; Esociformes; Esocidae.